UAGUAAAAACCAAAGGAAAAAAGUUACCUGCGCUCUUUCCACAUCCCUAUGUAUUUUUAAACAAAUGGAGGUAACUAAAAACCUGUUUUGUUUUGUUUAAAAAUACAUAGGGAUGUGGAAAGAGCGCAGGUAACUUUUUCCUUUGGUUUUCACU
RNAcentral lists this microRNA precursor (154 nucleotides) under Pelobates cultripes (western spadefoot toad). Lineage: Eukaryota; Metazoa; Chordata; Amphibia; Anura; Pelobatidae. The record is from RNAcentral.